UUAGUUUAGGUGUUCAUGAAUC
Molecule: non-coding RNA, 22 nt
Filed under: Arabidopsis thaliana (thale cress)
Lineage: Eukaryota; Viridiplantae; Streptophyta; Magnoliopsida; Brassicales; Brassicaceae
Source: RNAcentral